AUCCAUCUGACGAGUCUCAAAUAGGGCGAAACUCGCGUCCUCGAU
Molecule: non-coding RNA, 45 nt
Organism: Schistosoma mattheei
Lineage: Eukaryota; Metazoa; Platyhelminthes; Trematoda; Strigeidida; Schistosomatidae
Source: Rfam